CUCAUAGCGUAUAUUUAAGUUGUUGCAGUUAAAAAGCUCGUAGUUGGAUUUCGGGUGUGGGGCGCCGGUCCGCUUCGGUGUGCACUGGCGGCCCAGGCCUUCUUGUCGGGGACGCGCUCUGGCUUUCACUAGUCGGACGCGGAGUCGGCGCAGUUACUUUGAAAAAAUUAGAGUGUUCAAAGCAGGCUUUCGCUUGAAUACAUUAGCAUGGAAUAACAUGAUAGGACUCCGAUCCCAUUGUGUUGGUCUUCGGGACUGGAGUAAUGAUUAAGAGGGACAGUUGGGGGCAUUCGUAUUUCAUUGUCAGAGGUGAAAUUCUUGGAUUUAUGAAAGACGAACUUCUGCGAAAGCAUUUGCCAAGGAUGUUUUCAUUAAUCAAGAACGAAAGUUGGGGGCUCGAAGACGAUUAGAUACCAUCGUAGUCUCAACCAUAAACGAUGCCGACUAGGGAUUGGCGGAUGUUACUUGAUGACUUCGCCAGCACCUUGUGAGAAAUCAAAGUCUUUGGGUUCCGGGGGGAGUAUGGUCGCAAGGCUGAAACUUAAAGGAAUUGACGGAAGGGCACCACCAUGGCGUGGAGCCUGCGGCUUAAUUUGACUCAACACGGGGAAACUUACCAGGGUCCAGACACAGUGAUGAUUGACAGAUUGAGAGCUCUU
This 659-nucleotide ribosomal RNA is filed under the name uncultured eukaryote. Its description in RNAcentral is "SSU rRNA". It matches the Rfam family "Eukaryotic small subunit ribosomal RNA", at positions 591 to 1259 of the family's 1831-position model. The record is from RNAcentral.